RNAcentral lists this unclassified non-coding RNA (391 nucleotides) under Hevea brasiliensis (rubber tree). Lineage: Eukaryota; Viridiplantae; Streptophyta; Magnoliopsida; Malpighiales; Euphorbiaceae. The record is from RNAcentral.
GGUAAGUUUUAAGUAUUUCGUCUUUAGAGGAGGAUUAUAGUACCAAGUCCCCCUCCUUGUGUACCUCAUUUUAAUUAAUAUAUGAAAUUCCCGCCCAAAUAUCUGAUUCCAAAACCUGGAAAGUUGCCCCAAAAAUGAUGGACCUCAGGUAAUCCAAUACCAGAAAUUGCAGGAUAGAUUGGAUGGAGGUUUGUAAUUGAAUAAACUUAUCAUCUUUUAGAUUUUAAUAACAUGUUUUCAAGUGACAUAGGAAAUGAAUCCAAAAUGACUAAGAAGAAUGUGGUUUGAGUUACUGGUCCAAAUCUAGAUUUUCCUAUGUGUAUCAAACAAGUGUGAGGGUUUACGCAUAUAAUUUGAUGAUAUAACCUCCAUCCAAACAUGAAGGAUACCU